Molecule: ribosomal RNA, 501 nt
Filed under: uncultured bacterium
Lineage: Bacteria
Description: bacterial SSU rRNA
Rfam family: Bacterial small subunit ribosomal RNA
Source: RNAcentral
CGAGUUUGAUCAUGGCUCAGGAUGAACGCUAGCGGCAGGCCUAACACAUGCAAGUCGAGGGGUAGAGUUAGCUUGCUAACUUGAGACCGGCGCACGGGUGCGUAACGCGUAUGCAAUCUACCUUGUACAGAGGGAUAGCCCAGAGAAAUUUGGAUUAAUACCUCAUAGUAUCUUUACCUGGCAUCGGGUAAUUAUUAAAGUUCCAACGGUACAAGAUGAGCAUGCGUCCCAUUAGUUAGUUGGUAAGGUAACGGCUUACCAAGACAAUGAUGGGUAGGGGUCCUGAGAGGGAGAUCCCCCCACACUGGUACUGAGACACGGACCAGACUCCUACGGGAGGCAGCAGUGAGGAAUAUUGGUCAAUGGACGCAAGUCUGAACCAGCCAUGCCGCGUGCAGGAAGACGGUCCUAUGGAUUGUAAACUGCUUUUGUACGGGAAGAAACACCCCCUCGUGAGGGGGCUUGACGGUACCGUAAGAAUAAGGAUCGGCUAACUCCGUG